GGUCUCCUUUAGCAGCACAUAUAAUAAAAUUGGAAUAAUACAGAGAAGUUUAGCAUUGCCUCUGUGCAAGGAUGACAUACAUAUCUGUGAGCAUUCUGAAUUUUUC
Molecule: small nuclear RNA, 106 nt
Organism: Procavia capensis (Cape rock hyrax)
Lineage: Eukaryota; Metazoa; Chordata; Mammalia; Hyracoidea; Procaviidae
Source: Ensembl